AUGACUGAGCAUGCAAACAGCUUCUGUAUCUGUUACAGACAAGGGAACUAAAUAUAGUCUGAGCCGGACAACAACAUGCACAAGUAAAUCUCACAGACAUUGGCUCACUCUAGAGAAUCUCCAGUUGUACUUUGUACUUCUGUCAGCUGUUAACUAAUCCUGAUUGUUUGGUUGUGGCAUGAUUCACUUCUGCGCAAGAAAGGACCUGGACCAGCAAUCACUGAGUGCAGAUUACUAAUGACAGUUUAUGUAUGCACCAUGGCAUGGAAUGUGACCUAAACAUCUAAAAUGAGUGGGUACUAAAGAGAGACAAAGUUUGGACAUUGACACUGUCGGCCCAUUGAGGGCAGAUUGUUGUAAUUUAAGGCCAUGGGACUGUCAGAUAAAGCUGUGAUUGGCCGAGGCCUCAACAGUCCUGAUCCAUUGGUGCGUGAGGCCUACCUGAUGGCAUAUGACUAUAUCAACUAUGUGACGGCCAAACCAGGCAUCCCGGUGGGUCCAGCACCAUCCCGUGCCACGGCCGCCCUGCGUUAUGCUGGAGAUGAGCUACUCACUCGCUUCCCCAUCUUCUUUCGCCGCUGGCCGCGUGUUUUCCAGGACGUGACGGACCGAACGGCCUGCUCGACCCUCGUUUCCAUUCUGGAUGAGCACUUUGCACCCACACGACGUAGAGAUCUCGCCUGGAGCGCCGUGCUGUCUGUGUUUGUUCUCUCUGGACAGCUGGCACUGCACUGCCAGGAGAGGGGCAUGUCUGAUAUCCUGCCCCAGAUUCAGGAGUGCGUAGGCAGCUACGUAGAGAGGGUCAUCUGCCCCGAGAUCAAGGACAGAGGAGGAUGGUCAGGUUUUAUCAGUCGUUUUGGCGAGAAGCAGAAUCUUGAAGACCAGGUGAUGAAGGUGUGCUGCUGGUCUCUGCUCUUGCUGAGUGUUGGGAUCUUAUCCUACUUUGUAUGGAGAAGAAAAACUUAGACAACAGCGCCAUCUGCUGAGAAAAUGUAAUAAGGACACUCAUGAUUCACUUGGUUUGUGUCUCUCUAGGGAAUUGCUGGCAGGAUAUGAGCUCUGACGGUAAUGCAAGUGGACUGUCCCACCCCCUCUGCUCUUCCCCGCAGUCAAUGCUGAUGAGGCCCUGGAGACGUGGACAGAAGAACACAGAUGCACGCAGAUAUAGAUGAUCCACUGAUACAGUGAUCCACAACACUGGAGAUAAACAGCAUGCUUGUGAAACUGGUUUGUCUUACUGUAAGGUGUAAUGGUAAGGCACAUUUUACUUUUAGUGCUUGAGCAAUUCCUGUUCUAAAGGCCUUGUGGAGAUUUGUCGAGGGAUCCUUUAUUGGUUUUCGGGGGAAGGUUUUGCAUCUUCACAAUCAAUAACAAGUCAUUAGUGUGCCAUGAGCCGUUCCCUAAUUUAAGGAAGGAAGUCAUUUGAGAUAGGCUGCCAACGCAACAUCUGCUGUACACGCUAUAUGGUGGUUAUUUGUUUUAUAUAUUUAUAGCAAGAUUAUCUUUGUUAAUCAUUACCAGCUAUGUUUGUUGGUCCACCAGCUACCAGCAUAAAGCACAUUUACCAUUUAAUACAAAUUAUUGAUUUAAACCUAGGUCAAACCUGUAAAAGUUAAAUAGAAAUGUGCUGGUUUUUCAUUUGGAUUCAGCUGAUGUCUUGUGUUGUAUGAAUACAGCUGUAGGACUUGAAUGGAAGGCAUUUUAAAGCAUUUGUUUAAAGCAAAUGCCUUGUCUGCUAUGAAGGGCCUCGCCCAGGUUUACCUUACAAAUAACUGGAGCUCCCUCUAGUGUUAUUGUUAUGUUAUUGCCAAGCAAGCCAAGACAACAUAUCACAGCCACCGGAAACACCAGAGCCAGAGCCCAUCCCACCAGACACAUUAUCCCUCUCUCCAGCAUCUCCACUUUUACAGAACAAGCAGGAACCCAGUGUUUCUGUAGCUGUCUCUUUCUCUGUUUUAUCACGUGAUAGAAAGUCUAAGGCCUUCUCAAGCCGUACGGCUGACCCAUCUAAUCUGCGGCCUGUAAUGCACCAAUCUAAGAUUGCUGUAGAGACAAAAUGUAAUUCCAUCAAGUUAGCAUUUUUAAACAUUCGCUCACUAAAAAAUAAAUCAUUUCUGAUCAAUGAUUUAAUAACAACAAACAACCUGGAUUUUAUGUUUCUAAAUGAAACAUGGCUAGAAGACAGAUGCAGUGCAACAGUCCUCAAUGAAACAGCCCCUCCUAACUUUAAUUUUACAAGUGUCUGCAGGACUGUUAGGAGAGGUGGAGGUGUAGCUGCUCUAUUUAAAGAUGUUUAUCAAUGCAAGCAAGUGUCAUUUGGUCAGUAUUUGUCUUUUGAAUACCUAGGUAUUGUGCUGAAAGUUGCUCCACGCAUUCUGUUUAUCAUUAUUUACAGGCCUCCAAAAUACUCUCCAGCCUUUGUUGAAGAGUUCACAGAACUGUUAUCAAUGAUUUCCUCAGAGUUUGACUGUUUUGCUAUUGCAGGGGAUUUUAAUAUUCACAUAGAUAAUGCAGAAAUCAAAACUGCAAAAGAAAUUAUAACUGUUUUAAACACUUUUGAUCUGAUCCAGCAUGUGCAUGGACCAAUACACAAUCAUGGACACACUCUAGAUUUACUCAUCAGUAGAGGUCUAAAUAUUUCAUCCAUUGUUAUUAAUGAUGUAUCUGAUCACUUCUGUAUUUUUAUUUUUUUUGAUAUAUUGAUCUCUGUUACCACUGAAUCUAGAUCUGUCUCUGUCAGAAAGAGAUGCAUUAACGAGAACACUAGAAGGCUAUUUAUGAAGGCUAUGUCUUUAACACCAAGCAUUUCUGCAGACUCUGUGGAUCUUCUCCUGGAUUCUUUUAACUCAAAAGUUAAGAAUGUUAUUGAUGAUAUUGCUCCGGUAAAAGUCAGCAAGAAGACUGGCAGACAAAUAUCAUCUUGGAGAAAAUCAACAGCAGUUCAGAGUAUGAAAAGACAAUGCAGAAAAGCUGAGCGGAUGUGGCGGGAGACGAAACUCGAAAUUCACUAUAGCAUCUAUAAAGACAGCCUUCAUGCUUUCAAUGUGAAACUAGCCACAGCUAGACAGAUCUUCUUAUCAAACCUUAUAAACAGUAACUUAAACAACACUGAGAAGAUCAAUAAUAUCAGAAAGAAGAUUGGCACAUCUUCUAGUUAUGCAGAGGUCACACAGAUUCGACCGCAAUUUCAAAAAUAAAUUGUAUGUCUGUUUUUGAAGCAAUUGAUAGCAAAAUUUUGGAAGAAACAGUACAGCACCUUAAAUCUUGACACACUUCCCACAUCUUUUUUCCAAAGUGUGCUUAACUGUUUAGAAGCAGAUCUCUUAGAAGUGGUGAACGCCUCACUUCUUCCUGGGACUUUUCCAAACUCCCUGAAAACUGCAGUUGUUAAGCCCCUUCUGAAAAAGCGCAAUCUUGAUAACACAAUGUUGAACAACUAUAGACCAAUAUCAAAUCUUCCUUUCAUAGGUAAGAUUAUUGAAAAGGUGGUUUUUAAUCAGCUGAACAACUACUUAAACUCAAAUGGAUACCUGGACAAUUUUCAAUCUGGUUUCCGAGCGCAUCACAGUACAGAAACCGCGCUUAUUAAGAUAAUAAAUGAUAUUCGCUUCAAUUCUGAUUUUGGCAAAAUAUCAGUGCUAGUACUACUAGAUCUUAGUGCUGUGUUUGACACUGUCGAUCAUAACACUUCUAGAGAGACUGGAAAACUGGGUCGGGCUUUCUGGGAUGGUACUCAGAUGGUUCAGGUCAUACUUAGAAGGGAGUUUAUUAUGUGAGUAUAGGAGAGCAUAAGUCUAAGUGGACAUCCAUGGCAUGCCGAGUCCCAUAAGGCUCAAUUCUUGCACCACUCUUGUUUAGCCUGUAUAUGCUCCCACUAAGUCAAAUAAUGAGAAAGAACCAAAUUGCCUAUCACAGCUAUGCUGAUGAUACCCAGAUUUACCUAGCCUUAUCUCCAAAUGACUACAGCCCCAUUGACUCCCUCUGCCAAUGCAUUGAUGAAAUUAACAGUUGGAUGUGCCAGAACUUUCUUCAGUUAAACAAGGAGAAAACUGAAGUCAUUGCAUUUGGAAACAAAGGUGAAGUUCUCAAGGUGAAUGUAUACCUUGAGUCUAGGGGUCAAACAACAAAAAAUCAAGUAAAAAAUCUUGGGGUGAUUCUGGAGACAGAUCUUAGUUUUAGUAGUCAUGUCAAAGCAGUAACUAAAUCAGCAUACUGCCAUCUCAAAAACAUUGCAAGAAUUAGAUGUUUUGUUUCCAGUCAAGACUUGGAGAAACUUGUUCAUGCCUUUAUCACCAGCAGGGUGGAUUAUUGUAAUGGUCUCCUCACCGGCCUUCGAAAGAAAACCAUUAGACAGCUGCAGCUCAUCCAGAACGCUGCUGCCAGGAUUCUGACUAGAACCAGAAAAUCUGAGCAUAUCACACCAGUCCCCAGGUCCUUACACUGGCUUCCAGUUACAUUUAGGAUUGAUUUUAAAGUACUUUUACUAAUUUACAAAUCACUCAAUGGCCUAGAACCUAAAUACAUUGGAGAUAUGCUCACUGAAUAUAAACCUAACAGACCACUCAGAUCAUUAGGAUCGAGUCAGUUAGAAAUACCAAGGGUUCACACAAAACAAGGGGAGUCCGCUUUUAGCUAUUAUGCCGCCCGCAGUUGGAACCAGCUUCCAGAUGAGAUCAGAUGUGCUAAAACAUUAGCCACAUUUAAAUCCAGACUCAAAACUCAUCUGUUUAGCUGUGCAUUUGUUAAAUGAGCCCUGUGCUAUGUCCGAACUGAUUGCACUAUGUAUAAUCAUUUUCUAUACUUAACUGUUUUAAAUUAUUUUUAAAUCAAUUUUUAUAUAAUUUUGUUUUAUUUGUUUUAAAUUCCUUGUUUUUAUUGUUGUGAUUAUUAUUAUUUUUAAUGACUACUUCACGUCCUUUUAUGUAAAGCACUUUGAAUUACCACUGUGUAUGAAAUGUGCUAUAUAAAUAAACUUGCCUUGCCUAUUGUGACAUUUAUUGGGAGUAGGACUUACACUUCUGGCCAAAAGUUUGGAACAAUUACGAUUUAUUUACAUUUUUUUAAAAGAAGUCUCUUAUGCUCACUGCGUUUAUUUGAUUAAAAAUACAGUAUUAUUAUAUUCUGUUAAAUUAUAUUGUAACAAUGUAUUGCAAUUUAAAAUAAAAUAAUAAAUAAAUUAUAUUAUAUUAUAAAAAUGUAUUACAAUUUAAAAUAACUAUUUUCUAAGUCUAAUAUAUAAUAUAUGAUGGCAAAGCAUGUAAAUAAUAGUUUCUUCAAAAAUAUUAAACGGCAUAAACUGUUUUCAGCUUUGAUAAGAAUUAAAAACUAUUUUUAAUAAUUGAGGACCAAUAGUAACUGACAAUAACUGAGCAGCAAAUCAGCAUAUUAGAAUGAUUUCUGAAGGAUCAUGUGAUGCUGAAGACUGGAGUAAUGAUGCUGAAAAUUCAGCUUUGCAUCACAGAAAUAAAUUACAUUUUUAAAAUAUAUUAAAAUAGAAAACAGUCCUUUUAAAUUGUAAUACUAUUUCACAAUAUUACUGAAAUUUUUGGCAUUGGUGAGCAUGUUUCUUUCAAAAACAUUGGCUCCAUCUAGUGUUGUAAAAGUGAUAUUUUGACAUACAUAGGCAGAUUAUAAAACAGCAAACAUGUUUUUUGGAAAAUACUUAAUUUCCUCUUCAGGCUAAAUGUCAUGUGCUGUAGGAUAGCAUUCAAACAAUCAGUUUCAUCAUGUUACAUUUGUAACAAGGCAAGUCUAUUUAAAUAGCAGAUUUCACAGUCAUAAUUUAGUGUGCCUUACAAAAAAAAAAAAAAAAAAAGGAUUCUUUUUCAGUAGUUGUGCCAUUUAGAGAGAUAUUUAUGAUAUUUUUGAAACUAGCGUAGCCUAACAAAGCUAAUACAUUAAAAGCACCUCCCUAAUACCAUGUAGUUCCCCCUUGUGCUGCCAAAACAUCUCUGAUGCAUUGAGGCAAAGACUCCACAAAACCUCUGAACGUGUCCUGUGGUAUCUGAGACCAAGACAUUAGCAGAUGCUUGAAGUCCUGUAAAUUGAGGUGGGGCCUCCAUGGAUCAGAUUUGUUGGUCCAGCACAACCCAUUGUUGCUCAAUUGUUUGUCAUGUUCCUCAAAUCAUUCCUGAAAGAGGCCACAGGAAACACCGCUGCCAUGAAGGGUGUAUGUGGUCUGCAGCAAUCUUUAGGUAUGUGUAUUCAAAUGAAAGGCAGUCUGAUUUUACUGUAAACAAAUUAGGGUCACUGAACUUACCAUGUUGAUUUACUGUUGUGUCAUGACCCACAUUUACCACUGCAGCUCAAACAGUGCCAUGUAGAUGUAGAGAAUCAUGCACAACAUGGAACAGAGAAGGCUGGUACUAGAAUCAUUUGUUUUGACAAUAACUGCACACAAAAUACAAAGACCACAAAACUAAAAUAGUAGAUUAUUCAGGUACAAAUAAAUGAGCAUACAUGUAACUGCAGCUCAAUGUGUUCAUGAUAACAUCAUUAAACGUCCUGCACAUUGUGCACAAUGUUAAUGAAAUGCCAUUCAGUACUCCAUUUUACAAUAUAAAUACAAUAAAUACAAUAUAAAUCUCGAUGAUGACAUUUUUUGAGGUUAUAUAUUGUAGAAACCACAUGUAAAUAUUACAUAUACUGUUGGCUCUGUGACAUAGUUCUUAUGAACCUCUAUUGUACCUCACCUAAAAGAGCAUGGAAGGUUUCUGUAAUUUUUCACGUCAUCUUUUACUUUAUACAGUCAUGGCCAAAAAUAUCG
Molecule: RNA transcript, 6766 nt
Organism: Onychostoma macrolepis
Lineage: Eukaryota; Metazoa; Chordata; Actinopteri; Cypriniformes; Cyprinidae
Gene: bcl2l16
Gene name: BCL2 like 16
Exons: 4
Source: RefSeq, a predicted model, not a curated record